RNAcentral lists this unclassified non-coding RNA (200 nucleotides) under soil metagenome. RNAcentral's name for it is "partial contains internal transcribed spacer 2 and large subunit ribosomal RNA". The record is from RNAcentral.
UUUUUUGAUUCUUGGAAUGAUUUGGAGAGGUGUCUUGUCAUGUAGACGCCCUCCAGAAAUUCAUAGGCAGUAUGGUUUGCACCUGAACCAGACGUAAUAAUAAUAAAAUCGUUUGUUUGGGUAUGAUUGUGCUUGCCUUAACCCACCCAUUUCUUUGUUUGGGUGACCUCAGAUCAGGUAGGGAUACCCGCUGAACUUAA